UCUGGUCCAUUUCUUUCACUUUGUGGUUCACAAUCGUCGCUCCUGUAGUGAUUUUCUCACUAAGGCCAUAUUUUUGGUCUAUAGAAGCAACUGUGGCUGAGGUAGUGGAUGUGAUCUUGUGUCUCUCGUCUAGUGCCUUGGCUUUGCCAACUGCGUCCUUGCCCAAGAUAAAGCCCUUUGCCAACAUGCUGCUGACUACAUCCUCUGCCUUUUGAAUAGCAGAUCCAGCAGCGGGUGCAGUGGUGGUUUCAUUUGGAACUGGUGAUACUGAAGCUGUAGGUGGGAGCUUG
RNAcentral lists this unclassified non-coding RNA (290 nucleotides) under Hevea brasiliensis (rubber tree). The record is from RNAcentral. Lineage: Eukaryota; Viridiplantae; Streptophyta; Magnoliopsida; Malpighiales; Euphorbiaceae.